ACGUGGUGGUGCGAGAAGGACAAGCAUAUUGCCUAUGACCCGGUUCACCACAUAGCCUACAAAACUCCUCAUCUCUAAUCGUUCCAUUCAACGCUGCAAGUUCCCUGAGCUGUUGCCUCUUAUGCUCAUUAAGUACUUCAUCUACAGGCUGCAAAAGCUUCUCCAACAUAGCUGCAGCUGCCUCAAGCGACUCCUGAGUAUCAGCUUCGACAGGUUGCAAAAGCUUCUCCAACAUAGCUGCAGCUGCCUCAAGCGACUCCUGAGUAUCAGCUUCCACUAACACGUGUAAAUCCUCAUUCUCUGCAGGAUCAUGCUUCAAAUUCCCCUUCUGUUGUAACCUCCCCUCU
RNAcentral lists this long non-coding RNA (347 nucleotides) under Nicotiana benthamiana. Its description in RNAcentral is "long non-coding RNA (NBEN_LNC018276)". Lineage: Eukaryota; Viridiplantae; Streptophyta; Magnoliopsida; Solanales; Solanaceae. The record is from RNAcentral.